Molecule: ribosomal RNA, 749 nt
Filed under: Arthrobacter koreensis
Lineage: Bacteria; Bacillati; Actinomycetota; Actinomycetes; Micrococcales; Micrococcaceae
Description: bacterial SSU rRNA
Rfam family: Bacterial small subunit ribosomal RNA
Source: RNAcentral
ACACAUGCAGUCGAACGAUGACUUCUGUGCUUGCACAGAAUGAUUAGUGGCGAACGGGUGAGUAACACGUGAGUAACCUGCCCUUAACUUCGGGAUAAGCCUGGGAAACCGGGUCUAAUACCGGAUACGACCUCCUGGCGCAUGCCAUGGUGGUGGAAAGCUUUAGCGGUUUUGGAUGGACUCGCGGCCUAUCAGCUUGUUGGUUGGGGUAAUGGCCCACCAAGGCGACGACGGGUAGCCGGCCUGAGAGGGUGACCGGCCACACUGGGACUGAGACACGGCCCAGACUCCUACGGGAGGCAGCAGUGGGGAAUAUUGCACAAUGGGCGAAAGCCUGAUGCAGCGACGCCGCGUGAGGGAUGACGGCCUUCGGGUUGUAAACCUCUUUCAGCAGGGAAGAAGCGAAAGUGACGGUACCUGCAGAAGAAGCGCCGGCUAACUACGUGCCAGCAGCCGCGGUAAUACGUAGGGCGCAAGCGUUAUCCGGAAUUAUUGGGCGUAAAGAGCUCGUAGGCGGUUUGUCGCGUCUGCUGUGAAAGCCCGGGGCUCAACCCCGGGUCUGCAGUGGGUACGGGCAGACUAGAGUGCAGUAGGGGAGACUGGAAUUCCUGGUGUAGCGGUGAAAUGCGCAGAUAUCAGGAGGAACACCGAUGGCGAAGGCAGGUCUCUGGGCUGUAACUGACGCUGAGGAGCGAAAGCAUGGGGAGCGAACAGGAUUAGAUACCCUGGUAGUCCAUGCCGUAAACGUU